AAUGCACGCCUACAUACUGGUUAUGGUUGAUCUGACGGAGGAGCCAAGGACCAAAUCGUUCUUUAUUGUGGCACCUGUGAGUUAAUGGAAAAACUUGUCUCUUCUGUGAAAUCGAAAGAAUCUGAAUUUGGCAAGAGACAUGGGCGGUUUCCAAGAGUAUGAGUAACCGGCAAUGAAUCCGCAGCCCUGUGGCUUUUUGCCCAAAUAAACAUUCCUUCUCACAGCCUCAGUGUGCCAGAAACUGUAGUACUUUCCAGUGGAUCGUCAGCAACAGAAAUGGGAACCCCAACAUUAGCAGCAUCUUCAGGGAGCUGGGUUAAGGACUGGUGGUCCCAGAUUAAAUCCCUUGAGGAAGCCUGAAACAGCGAAACAUGUAGGGAUGGGACAGUUGCUUGAUAAAGGAGUGCGGCAGCCUCACCACUCGCUGCCUGUCACUCAGAAACGCGUUGCAUACCCGGUGACGCCAUCAUCCCUCGCCUGCAGUCCACCUGCGCUCCAAGCCUCGUUUUGGAAGAUUCUCCACCGCGGCUGGCUUCCUCCAUCAGCGGUGACAGUGGAUCCAUACAAGCGCUCCAGCAGACCCUGGAUGACAGUGACGGCCGGAUGACACCUCUCCUCACUUCAGGAAUACUGACUUAUAUGCCUAUUUGUCACUUCGAAAAUGUGAGUGACCAUUACCUAAGUUUUUAAACCUUAUUAAAUUGUUUCAAACUAUUUCACCCAGAGGCGCCUCUUCCCUUGUUUUCCUCCUAGGGAUGGGACAUACUCCUGUGACCACCACUUUAUGAAAUUUGGGAAACC
Long non-coding RNA from Rana temporaria (common frog), 801 nucleotides. RefSeq lists it as uncharacterized. The transcript is spliced from 4 exons. The record is from RefSeq and is a predicted model, not a curated record. Lineage: Eukaryota; Metazoa; Chordata; Amphibia; Anura; Ranidae.